RNAcentral lists this ribosomal RNA (465 nucleotides) under Vreelandella stevensii. RNAcentral describes it as "partial 16S ribosomal RNA". It matches the Rfam family "Bacterial small subunit ribosomal RNA", at positions 338 to 795 of the family's 1533-position model. Lineage: Bacteria; Pseudomonadati; Pseudomonadota; Gammaproteobacteria; Oceanospirillales; Halomonadaceae. The record is from RNAcentral.
CCUACGGGUGGCAGCAGUGGGGAAUAUUGGACAAUGGGGGGAACCCUGAUCCAGCCAUGCCGCGUGUGUGAAGAAGGCCCUCGGGUUGUAAAGCACUUUCAGUGAGGAAGAACGCCUGGUGGUUAAUACCCAUCAGGAAAGACAUCACUCACAGAAGAAGCACCGGCUAACUCCGUGCCAGCAGCCGCGGUAAUACGGAGGGUGCGAGCGUUAAUCGGAAUUACUGGGCGUAAAGCGCGCGUAGGUGGCUUGAUAAGCCGGUUGUGAAAGCCCCGGGCUCAACCUGGGAACGGCAUCCGGAACUGUCAAGCUAGAGUGCAGGAGAGGAAGGUAGAAUUCCCGGUGUAGCGGUGAAAUGCGUAGAGAUCGGGAGGAAUACCAGUGGCGAAGGCGGCCUUCUGGACUGAUACUGACACUGAGGUGCGAAAGCGUGGGUAGCAAACAGGAUUAGAUACCCGAGUAGUC